Molecule: long non-coding RNA, 219 nt
Filed under: Lathyrus oleraceus (garden pea)
Lineage: Eukaryota; Viridiplantae; Streptophyta; Magnoliopsida; Fabales; Fabaceae
Description: Pisum sativum (pea) long non-coding RNA (PSAT_LNC008246)
Source: RNAcentral
AAGAGAGGAGUUAAACAUGUUAUUUAUAAGGUUCUCAAUGCAUGUACUGAAUCAAACACAUGGCAUCCACGUGGGGGAGAUUGAAGCGUUUUUUGGGUUUACGAAGCACAUAAUUAAUGUGAGUGAGAGCAUUUAUGAACGACGUGAAAACCCACGACUUCCUAGGAAGUAAGAGUAAUGAUGAGAUUUUGAGCGGAUCUCAUGGAAAAUGACAAUGCG